RNAcentral lists this ribosomal RNA (465 nucleotides) under uncultured bacterium. RNAcentral's name for it is "partial 16S ribosomal RNA". It matches the Rfam family "Bacterial small subunit ribosomal RNA", at positions 28 to 507 of the family's 1533-position model. The record is from RNAcentral.
GACGAACGCUGGCGGCGUGCCUAACACAUGCAAGUCGAACGGAAAGACCCCUUUGGGGGUACUCGAGUGGCGACCGGGUGCGUAACACGUGCGUAACCUGCCCUUGACUUUGGGACAACUUCAGGAAACUGGGGCUAAUACCGGUUCGAAAUCCUUGCUGCAUGGUGGGGGUUGGAAAGCUUCGGCGGUUUUGGAUGGACUGGCGGGUUAUCAGCUUGUUGGUGGGGUUGUGGCUUACCAAGGCUUCGAAGGGACGCCGGCCUGUGUGGGCGACCGGCCACACUGGGACUUAGAGGCGGCCGAGACUGCGACGGGUGGGAGCUGUGGGGAAGCUUGCACGAUGGGCGCAGGGCGGGUGCAGCAGCGCCGCGGGCGGUAUGACUGCCUUAGGGUUGAAGACCGCUUUCAGCAGGAGCGAAGCUUGUGGUGACGGUACCUGCAGAAAAAGCACCGGCUAACUACGUG